CUACGUGGGGGGCGAGCGUUGUCCGGAAUGAUUGGGCGUAAAGGGCGCGUAGGCGGCCCGGUAAGUCUGGAGUGAAAGUCCUGUUUUUAAGAUGGGAAUUGCUUUGGAUACUGUCGGGCUUGAGUGCAGGAGAGGUAAGUGGAAUUCCCAGUGUAGCGGUGAAAUGCGUAGAGAUUGGGAGGAACACCAGUGGCGAAGGCGUCUUACUGGACUGUAACUGACGCUGAGGCGCGAAAGUGUGGGGAGCAAACAGGAUUAGAUACCCUGGUAGUCCACACUGUAAACGAUGAAUGCUAGGUGUAGGGGGUAUCGACCCCUUCUGUGCCGCAGUCAACACAAUAAGCAUUCCGCCUGGGGAGUACGGCCGCAAGGUUGAAACUCAAAGGAAUUGACGGGG
RNAcentral lists this ribosomal RNA (397 nucleotides) under uncultured bacterium. RNAcentral describes it as "partial 16S ribosomal RNA". It matches the Rfam family "Bacterial small subunit ribosomal RNA", at positions 523 to 918 of the family's 1533-position model. The record is from RNAcentral.